Molecule: ribosomal RNA, 1204 nt
Filed under: Globobulimina turgida
Lineage: Eukaryota; Foraminifera; Rotaliida; Buliminidae
Description: SSU rRNA
Rfam family: Eukaryotic small subunit ribosomal RNA
Source: RNAcentral
AAGGGCACCACAAGAACGCGUGGAGCAUGUGGCUUUUUUUGACUCAACGCGGGAAAUCUUACCGGGUCCGGACACACUGAGGAUUGACAGGCAAUAUUAAUAAUUUAUUUUUUCUGUGUGUUUACUCACAUCAGUAAUAUAUUUUAUUAUGUUAAAUAUGCUAGUCCUUUCAUGAUUAUGUGAUAGGUGGUGCAUGGCCGUUCUUAGUUCGUGGAGUGAUCUGUCUGCUUAAUUGCGUUUCACUAAGGGCCUAGAAAUUUACGUAUGUUGCGACACUUUGACCCCUCCUUGUGUGCGUGCGUCUUUGUUUGUUUAGCUCAUACAAAUAGGUCCUGAAAGCAACGAACGUGACCGCAACCUCUUGUUGCUUUCGUAUAUAUAUGAUACAUGUAUUUUAUUAUACUAGUAUAAUAUAUUAUACAUACUGCAUAUAUAAUAUUAUGUGUUCAUUGUCACUAACUAAAAAUAUAAGACUUGUCUUUUUUUUAUGUUGNGUAGGUCUUUACAUAUUUUGUAUAUCUUUAUGCACAGAAAGCUUUUAAACUAGAGGGACCGCUGUUACUUUCUUAAACCAGAGGAAGGUUGCGGCAAUAACAGGUCUGUGAUGCCCUUAGAUGUUCCGGGCUGCACACGUGCUACAAUGAUUAUUGCAGUGAGCAUCUCAUUUUAUUAUUCACACCGCAUGCGCGAGACCAUUUAUUCUCUCUUCGCGAGUGUUUUAAAUGUGUAUCUCUGCGCGCGGUAAAGCCUACUUCGAAAGUAAGCGGGUAAUCAAUUAGAAGUAAUGAUUUCCUAUAUUUUAUUGUAUCAUUUUUUUGGUAUAGUAAUUCUGCACACAUAUAUACGGCAUCUUUACCCGGGUAGCCUUGUUGUUACUUUUUGUGCGUAUCGAUGUUUUUUUCCGUAUGUGCGAUUGUCAAUUCAUGGUGGGGACAGACCAUUGUUAAUUGUUGGUCUCGGUCUUAACUAGGAAUGCCUUGUACGGGUCUUUGGUUCAACAAACCACCCGGAAUACGUCCCUGCCCUUUGUACACACCGCCCGUCGCUCUUACCGAUGGACUUCUCUGUGAGUUUGAGGGACUGGGAACGCAUGUAAUAAAUUUUAUUUAUUUAUGCACACCUAUGGAAACUUAAACGAACAGUGUGGUCUAAAGGAAAGAGAAGUCGUAACAAGGCAUCAGUAGGUGAACCUGCAGAAGGAUCA